CGGCGAACGGGUGAGUAACACGUGAGCAACCUGCCCCUGACUCUGGGAUAAGCCCGGGAAACUGGGUCUAAUACCGGAUAUGACGCGCCCCGGCAUCGGGUGUGUGUGGAAAGUUUUUCGGUUGGGGAUGGGCUCGCGGCCUAUCAGCUUGUUGGUGGGGUAGUGGCCUACCAAGGCGACGACGGGUAGCCGGCCUGAGAGGGCGACCGGCCACACUGGGACUGAGACACGGCCCAGACUCCUACGGGAGGCAGCAGUGGGGAAUAUUGCGCAAUGGGCGGAAGCCUGACGCAGCGACGCCGCGUGGGGGAUGACGGCCUUCGGGUUGUAAACCUCUUUCAGCAGGGACGAAGUUGACGUGUACCUGCAGAAGAAGCGCCGGCUAACUACGUGCCAGCAGCCGCGGUAAUACGUAGGGCGCAAGCGUUGUCCGGAAUUAUUGGGCGUAAAGAGCUCGUAGGUGGCUGGUCGCGUCUGCCGUGAAAGCCCGCAGCUUAACUGCGGGUCUGCGGUGGAUACGGGCCGGCUAGAGGUAGGCAGGGGCAAGUGGAAUUCCUGGUGUAGCGGUGAAAUGCGCAGAUAUCAGGAGGAACACCGGUGGCGAAGGCGGCUUGCUGGGCCUUACCUGACGCUGAGGAGC
RNAcentral lists this ribosomal RNA (640 nucleotides) under Nonomuraea sp. I12A-02642. Its description in RNAcentral is "bacterial SSU rRNA". It matches the Rfam family "Bacterial small subunit ribosomal RNA", at positions 96 to 754 of the family's 1533-position model. The record is from RNAcentral. Lineage: Bacteria; Bacillati; Actinomycetota; Actinomycetes; Streptosporangiales; Streptosporangiaceae.